RNAcentral lists this transfer RNA (73 nucleotides) under Ophiocordyceps unilateralis. It matches the Rfam family "tRNA". Rfam says of the family: Transfer RNA (tRNA) molecules are approximately 80 nucleotides in length. Their secondary structure includes four short double-helical elements and three loops (D, anti-codon, and T loops). Further hydrogen bonds mediate the characteristic L-shaped molecular structure. tRNAs have two regions of fundamental functional importance: the anti-codon, which is responsible for specific mRNA codon recognition, and the 3' end, to which the tRNAs corresponding amino acid is attached (by aminoacyl-tRNA synthetases). tRNAs cope with the degeneracy of the genetic code in two manners: having more than one tRNA (with a specific anti-codon) for a particular amino acid; and 'wobble' base-pairing, i.e. permitting non-standard base-pairing at the 3rd anti-codon position. Lineage: Eukaryota; Fungi; Ascomycota; Sordariomycetes; Hypocreales; Ophiocordycipitaceae. The record is from Rfam by way of RNAcentral. RNAcentral also lists the same sequence under 2 other names.
UCUCCUAUGGCGUAAUCGGCAGCGCGUCUGACUGUUAAUCAGAAGGUUGGAAGUUCGAGUCUUCCUGGGAGAG